UCUGACCUCAAAUCAGGUGGGACUACCCGCUGAACUUAA
RNAcentral lists this ribosomal RNA (39 nucleotides) under Pyrofomes demidoffii. RNAcentral's name for it is "partial 28S ribosomal RNA". The record is from RNAcentral. Lineage: Eukaryota; Fungi; Basidiomycota; Agaricomycetes; Polyporales; Polyporaceae.